GAUGAACGCUGGCGGCGUGCUUAACACAUGCAAGUCGAACGAUGAAGCUCAGCUUUCUGGGUGGAUUAGUUGCGAACGGGUGAGUAACACGUGAGUAACCUGCCCUUAACUCUGGGAUAAGCCUGGGAAACUAGGUCUAAUACCGGAUAGGAGCGCCUACCGCAUGGUGGGUGUUGGAAAGAUUUAUCGGUUUUGGAUGGACUCGCGGCCUAUCAGCUUGUUGGUGAGGUAAUGGCUCACUAAGGCGACGACGGGUAGCCGGCCUGAGAGCGUGACCGGCCACACUGCGCCUGAGACACGCCCCAGACUCCUACGGGAGGCAGCAGUGGGGAAUCUUGCACAAUGGGCGCACGCCUGAUGCAGCGACGCCGCGUGCGGGAUGACGGCCUUCGGGUUGUAAACAUCUUUCAGUAGGGAAGAAGCGAACGUGACGGUACCUGCAGAAGAAGCCCCGGCUAACUACGUG
This 466-nucleotide ribosomal RNA is filed under the name uncultured bacterium. RNAcentral's name for it is "partial 16S ribosomal RNA". It matches the Rfam family "Bacterial small subunit ribosomal RNA", at positions 28 to 507 of the family's 1533-position model. The record is from RNAcentral.